GAUGGUGUGGCGCAACGGUAGCGCAGAGGAUUGUCUAUCCUAAGGUUGCGAGUUCGAAUCUCGUCUCCAUCGCCA
Molecule: transfer RNA, 75 nt
Filed under: Aureispira sp. CCB-E
Lineage: Bacteria; Pseudomonadati; Bacteroidota; Saprospiria; Saprospirales; Saprospiraceae
Description: tRNA-Asp
Rfam family: tRNA
About the family: Transfer RNA (tRNA) molecules are approximately 80 nucleotides in length. Their secondary structure includes four short double-helical elements and three loops (D, anti-codon, and T loops). Further hydrogen bonds mediate the characteristic L-shaped molecular structure. tRNAs have two regions of fundamental functional importance: the anti-codon, which is responsible for specific mRNA codon recognition, and the 3' end, to which the tRNAs corresponding amino acid is attached (by aminoacyl-tRNA synthetases). tRNAs cope with the degeneracy of the genetic code in two manners: having more than one tRNA (with a specific anti-codon) for a particular amino acid; and 'wobble' base-pairing, i.e. permitting non-standard base-pairing at the 3rd anti-codon position.
Source: RNAcentral